Non-coding RNA from Callithrix jacchus (white-tufted-ear marmoset), 13239 nucleotides. Lineage: Eukaryota; Metazoa; Chordata; Mammalia; Primates; Cebidae. The record is from RefSeq and is a predicted model, not a curated record.
ACACACACACAGGUUCUUUUUCAGGUUCCAGGUCUAAUUUCUGAGUAGAUUCAUGUGACCUUGCUCCAUUUUCUUGUGCAUUUUUUUUUCCCAUGGCGGCUGUGCUUUUCACAUGAAGCUGGUGUCUGUGGCAUUUAGAGCGUUUAGAGGCUUUGGUUUGCUCUCUGUUCUAAGGUCUUCCGAUGACCUUACCGCCUAGAUCAGGGAAUGGGUGAGGGGGAGGCCAGUACACCCCACAUGGAGAAAACCAGGCCCAUGUGUACUCUGGGCCUGCUCCUUCCUCCGCCUGCCUGAAACCACACUUGCAGUCAGCACGUCAGAACCUGCGAGGUCUGGAUAGAUUUCUGCUUUUAAAGAGCUGCCGGACCGAGAAUGUCAGAGUCACGUUACUCUAGAGAUCAAAUGGCAAUUCACAGCCACAAAGGGAGUGGCACACUCCACCAAUCCUCACCCUGAGACUGUCGGGCUAGACCCCUAGGGUGUCUGAGGCUGCCCCUGUUGAAACAGUGGGGCUGACAAAAGCAAUUUGAAGGGGAAACAAAAGUCCUGCAGGGUUCGGUUACAAAUGUUUGCCUGAACUUGGAAUCCUUAUUCUAGAAAGUUCUAUGCUAACAUGGGGGCAGCUGCUGCUUUCAUGAGUAGAGAAAAACAACUCUGAUGGAGGCGGGUGAGUGAGGGGGAGCAGAGCCAGCAGAAAUCCUGGCUCAGCAGCCCGGGAUGGGUCCCACGAAUACAGUAGCCAGGGAGCAGGGCGCAUGCUCUCCAGGAUCCCAUUUCAGGCCAGCUGGAGUGAGGAUGUGUUCUUGGCCACAGGAAAAAUGUUCCCUCAGACAGAGCUGUGAACCCGGCAGGAUGGAGGGAGGACUGCACUGCCAGGUGACUGCACUUCCCAGCAGCCUUUCCUGUCUUCCUUCCCUGGGUAGCAUGUGUUUUUGUGUUGCCAAUUCACCCACCUCCCGAAAUACCCUUUUUUUUUUUUUUUUUUUGAGAUAGAGUCUCACUCUGUGUCACAGGCUGAAGUGCAGUGGCCCAAUCUGGGCUCACUUGGAACCUCUGCCUCCAGGAUUCAAGCAAUUCUCCUGCCUCAGCCUCCCUAGUAGCUGGGAUUACAGGCGUAUGCCACCAUGCCCGGCUAAUUUUGUGUGUUUAGUAGAGAUGGGGUUUCUUCAUAUUGAUCAGGCUGGUCUCGAACUCCUGACCUCAGGUGAUCCACCCGCCUUGACCUCCCAAAGUGUUGGGAUUAUACGGCGUGAGCCACCGCGCCCGGCCAAUUCCCUCAUUUUUUAAAUGUAGGAAUUUUUCUGAGCCUGUGAGCUGUGUUGCAAAACUAUAAGCACUUUUCCACAGCUACCCUAUGUCAUCGGUCUCUGACAUAAAGAGGGAAGGAGGAAGGUGGAGCGGGGAAAGGAGGGAGAGAGGGAAAGAAGGAGAAACGCGAGAGAAACAUUUUGCAGACGUCAAAGAAGACCACACUCUACAGGAUAGCAUUACUUGUACAUCAACCACCCACUCCCUCUAAUUUACUAGAAACCAAACGGCCUCUUUAGACGCCCUUAGACGGGUGAGUCUGGGUUGGGUUUUUCUGGGGGCUGGGAGGUGUUUUGUUUUUUCGCUAUCUUCCUUUGACCAAAAGGGCCAUUAAUUGUUGGGAGUUUGAAAGCUACCUGAUUCCCUGAAACAGAGGGGAUUUCCAUGAGUAAUAAUUCAGACCGUGCUUGUGUAGAGUGCUAUGGCUCGAGUAAAUUGAUCCAGCUGCUUACAAAGCUCAUGGAAAAGUGCCCAGGGGAGAGGACGGCGGCGACUGCAGCUGGGGCCUCUGCUGGUGCUGUCACGUGGUCCAGCCGGCGUCCGCCCCCGGGCCCUGCGCGCCCCCGGAGACCCUCUCCCAGCUCCAGGCGCCCUCUAUUUCCCGGCUGCCCGGAACCCCCAGUUCCUCGAGAGGUCGCCACCUUGCAGCCCUGGCUGAUUUCGCAGGUUGAAGGCGAUUCUUCAACACAAGUUGCAGCCUCUUUUUGGGAAAUGCGGGAUACUGAUUCUGGUUGGAGGCGCCCCGAAGCUCCCUCUUGAAUGGCAACCUCUGGUGCCGGGCGUGUUUGUGCUUCCCAGAAGCAUCCCGCAGUUCUGUUGUCCGGACCCACCAGGCCCUAUUUGCAAAGAAAAUCAAAUCUGGCAACAGUCACCUGUAACCCGAGGCUACAGAAAUACCGAUUCCACUGCCCAGAUGGUAGAGUUCAAUGUGUUUGCUGGCUAAGGCCGCACAAGUUAAUUUUUAUCCUAGUAAAAAAUAAUAAACACUGCAUUAGCAACUAAAUGUUUAUCAAUUUGCAGUUCAUUUCCAGCCAGAUCAUUUCGCUCCUGCGUGUUUUUACUGCUAGCUGAUGCACUGGAGUGCUUUUCCCCAAAACCAUAUGUGGCUAUUUAAGUCUUAGCCUCUGUAGCAUUUAUAUGGUGCUUUUCACCUUAAUUGGUUAAUAUAAUUUGGCUACUUCAGCCGUGGUCUUCAAAUAUCGUGUUUUAAUGAUCAAGAAACCGCAGUAGGGAAAGAUUAAAUGACUUGCUGGGGGGAUCAUCCUGCAGUUCAGGGGUGAUGCUAAACAAGGAACCACAGGUUUAUAUGGCACACAGACCUGUUUGGGGGGGCGCACGUGGCUGAGCAGAGCUGAGUUUGUUGUGUGUCUUUUGUGUGAAGAUAAUAUUAGAGGAAGUGGCAGAGAACAACUAGCUAAUGGAGUUGGCAACCCUGCCUGGGAAGAAGAUGCAUUGGUGCACAUAAGCAAGGCUAGCAUGUUGAGCCUGUGAUGGAAACUCCAGUAGCUAUAGUUAAGCCCUUCUGCACAUGCUUUCGCUAUUUUUGUUAGCAGCAUUAGAGGCACUAUGGGGUAGUGUCGUCCACUGUUUGUCAGUGGACUGUCAUAGCCAGAAACAGUGAUUUGGUUAAUACAAAAGGAAGCGAUGCCCGUCCUGGGAUGGUGCAGAUGAUAAACCUCCUCCUACUUCCCAGUACGAGUAGAAACCUUGAUAGUGCCGCUUGGUUUAGGGUGGAUCUAAAGCUGCUACCCUGGGGCGAAGGAGAGUAUAAAAGACUCUUUAGGGCAGAAGGCAGGAUAAGUCAGUUCCUCCUUUAUUACCUCUGUGGGAAAAUAACUCACUUGCUUGAAGUCUAAAUUUUUCUCCCCUGAAAAAGUGAGGGGAUAGUAGGAUGUCCCUCGCAGGGUGGCUGUGCCCAUAAGGGACAUGAUACUCAAGGCUUGGCAUGGUACCUGGCAUCUGGUAGACACUGAAGAAGGACUCUUGCCAGCAGAGUAGGCUUCGUGGAGGCGGGUAGGUGAUGGGUUGAAGAUACCAUGUAUGCAAGCCAGUAUGAGGUCAUGCCCGUUUCCCAAUGGGCAGGUGACACAAAUUUUGUGUCCUUUUUUUGGUCUCCUUGAAUAUAUACUUUUUUUCUUUUUCUUUUGAGACAGCAUCUUGCUCUGUCACCCAGGCUGGAAUGUAGUGGUGCAAUCUCGGCUCAUUGAAACCUGCCUUCUGGGUUCAAGCAAUUCUCCUGCUUCAGCCUCCGAAGCAGCUGGGACUACAGGCGCACACCACCACACCUGGCUAAUUUUUGUACUUUUAGUAGAGACAGGGUUUCACCAUGUUGGCCAGGCUGGUCUUGAACUCCUGACCUCAAGUGAUCCGCCUGCCUCAGCCUCCUAAAGUGCUGAGAUUACAGAUGUGCAUCACCACGCCCAGCGGCUUGAAUAUAUACUUUUAAUGAUGCAAGUGAAAUAGUCACAUUUCUAGUUAAGAAUUUAUUCACUUAGUUACUUGUUUAUUUGUUUAUUUGCUUGUUUGAGACAGAGUCUUGCUCUGUCACUAAGGCUGGAGUGCAGUGGCACAAUCUCGGCUCAUUGAAACCUCUGCCUUCUGGGUUCAGGCAAUUCUCCUGCUUCAGCCUCCGAAGCAGCUGGGACUACAGGCGCGCACCACCACACCUGGCUAAUUGUUGUACUUUUAGUAGAGACAGGGUUUCACCAUGUUGGCCAGGCUGGUCUGGAAUUCCUGACCUCAAAUGAUUUGCCUGCCUGGGCCUCCCAAAGUGCUGGGAUUAUAGGUGUGAGCCACAGCGGCUGGCCCGUUAGAUUAAGAAUUGUGUGCAUAAAUAUACUUAGGAAUCUUGCCUUAUUGUUACUCAUUAACUCAUUAUUCAGACUCUUUGUUAUCAACUGUCUGUGUCAUUACUUAAGCCCCCCAAUUUUUUUUUUUGAGACGGAGUCUUGCUCUGUCACCUAGGCUGGAGUGCAAUGGCACGACCUCAGCUCACUGCAGCCUCUGCCUCCCCUGGGUUCAAGUGAUUCUUUCUUCAGCCCCCGCCCCCCAAAGUAGCUGGGACAACAGGCAUGCGCCAUCAUGCCCAGCUUAUUUUUGUAUUUUUAGUGGAGAUGGGUUUCAUUAUGUUGGCCAGGCUGGGUCUUGAAUCCCUGAUCUCAGUCAAUCUGCCUGCCACGGCCUCCCAAAGUGCUGGGAUUACAGGCGUGAGCCACGGUGCCUGGCCUUGUGCCCCUUUUUAAAUGAUCUGACUCAGUCUUCCAGAACACUUCGUCUUGCUUCUGCCCAGUUGUCUUUGAGAUCUGGGACUUUCUGAGUGUGUGUGCCAUGCUCACUGGAAAUGCUACCCCAGGCCUUCAUAUCCAUGUGCUAUUUGCCAUCUCCACAAAGCCGACUUCCUGCAUUGCUUUUAAAAGCGAUCUUCAUGGCAUUGUGGCUAUGAAGGGAAAUGUUCAUGUGUUUUAGAGACGCAUGCUAAAGUAGGAAGGAGUGAAAUGACGUGAGCCCUCUGAUGCUCUUUAAAAGAUUUCAGCAAAGAGAAAAAAAAGUAAAACACACAAAAUGAAGCAAAUGUUAACAAAUCUGGGUAACUGUUGAUUAAGUGAUAGAUCUGUGGGGAGUCGCUGUGCUGUAGUCUGCUCUUUCUACAUGCUUGAAAAUUGUCCUAAUAAAAGUUAAAAUGCGCUGGGCCUGGUGGCUCACGCCUACAAUCCCAGCACUUUGGGAGGCUGAGGCAGGUGGAUCACUUGAGGUUAGCAGUCCAAGACCAUCCUGGCCAAUAUGGUGAAACCCCAUCUCUACUAAAAAUACAAACAUCAGCCAGGCGUGGUGGUGGGCACCUGUAAUCCCAGCUACUCAAGAGGCUAAGGCACGAAAAUUGCUUGAACCUGGGAGGUGGAGGUUGCAGUGAGCUGAGGUUGUGCCCCUGCACUCCAGCCUGGGCGACAGAGCAAGACUGUCUGAAAAAGAAAGAAAGAAAAAGUUUAAAAUGAGCUUUAAAAGACUGACUUACAGGCUGGGAAUGGUGGCUCAUAAUUAUAAUCCCGGCACUUUGCAGGGCUGAGGUGGACAGGUUGCUUGAGUCUAGGAGUUCGAGACCAGCCUGGGCAACAUGCUGAAAGCCUGUCUCUUCGAUUAAAAAAAAAGGACUUGCUUACAAUAUCUCAUACUUGUAAUUGGAGGUCAUACCUCCAAGAAUAACUACAAAAACUUUUAUUUUUCUUUGUAUUAAGAAACCAAAUCAACAAAAAUUCUUCUUCCAGACAACCUCUAUAAACAUUCCAAACUAAAAUUGAUGAGAUUCCUUUUGGAGUAUUUUCUUGUUCCAAAUAAAGAAAUCUUGUCAUAUUAAGAGCUUUUUGCAGACUCAAAUGUAAGGUGACACCUUAUACUUGCCUAUCCAUCUUAUGUUUCUCUUUGCUGUGCUGGUCUGAGUAGACAGGGUUGGUAAUGACCCCAAAUGGAACACUUCUCUAGAGAAGUGAUAGGGAGAGCUCUCGCAGUGCCCUUCAUCAGAAGUACCCAUUACCUAGUGCCCUUGUUGGCACUGGAGCUGGAAGGCUCAGGAUAUCAGGGAACAGGCUGCCCACAGUCCUGGAAGCAGGCCUGGUGGCACAGGCCUGGGUAUGGAGUGUCAGUGGUGGCAGAAGAGGGGAGAGUCACUGUUUUCUUCAUUAGUUAAUGUCUGUCGCCUGGAGGGAGGGCAAGAGCCAUGGUCUACACAGCCAAAGUGAGAGGGUGGUUGAGCAAUUCUCUAGCAAAGUCAGGCAAGCGUAUUUAGGCUGAGGAGCCCUGGUUCCCACAGCCUAAAGUGUUAGGAAUGGAGAGUGAAAGGAACAGAAAACCAGUCCAUAUUUGUCUUAUAUGAAUUUUGUAGCAAUGGCUUUUCCAAAGGGGGAAAGAAAAAGUUAUUUUAUUUUUUCGCACUUGGACGUAUUUAUCUUUGUUGUGGCUUCUUUUUUUUUGUUUUGUUUUUAAUUGUACUUUAAGUUCUUGGGUACAUGUGCAGAUCUUGCAGGAUUGUUUUUAAAACGGGAUUGAAAAAGAGGAUGUGUUCCAUAUGGACAUAGUAGGCCAUUUACCGACGAGUUACUAUGAUAAAACAGAUCUACUGGGCCUGUGUGGGAAGCCUGGAAUUCUUUUUCUUUAUAGUCUUUUCCCUUAGGGAUACAUUGCAUUAUUCCACAAUAGGUUGAUGAUAAUCUUUGAGAGAUUUACUUCUGAGACUUCUCAGUGUGGCUUCAUUCACACUUCACAUUUCAUAAGAGAGAUGAUUUUGGCUACUUUGAAAGAACCCUCCCUCAAACAUAAAGAUCACAGCAUCACGACGUUAGAAUGUCUGUCUCAACAUUUCAGUGCUAGAAGAUUUAUUAGAAUACAGAUGAAUAAAAUAAGAUAAACACAAUCCCAGUGUGCUCAAACUGAGAGCACGUUCUUUUUUUGAAAACGUUUUCUUCUUCUUCUUCUUUUUUUUUUUUGAUGAGCUAAGUGUUAAUUAUAACCCAAAAAGAAGGAAAAGUGUGAGAUUAGGUAAGUGUCUGCUAGAUCCAUCACUGACGUGCAUUCUGUGAAAUGGGCUUAGAGGUCACUGGUUGCAUCUGCAGGAACAAGUUCACUUGUUGUUUAUUCUCAGUCUGAUUGGGCCACCACUGAAAACAGAAGGUGAACUACGGUCCAGAGGCCCUCUGUGAGAUUCAGGUCUGACUUGGAGGGUCGCUUCCAUCGAGGGCGCGCAUGAUGAAGUCUGCAGGCAGCGCUUGGGCAACGCCAGGUGGCCACUGGCCAGGGUAGAAGUUAAACCAGGAGAUGGCCAUCAAAUGCAGUUGCUGGGUUUUGCACAUCUUUCCCAAGCUUCUGAGCUGAGCAGGAAAGAGAGACGUUUGUCUGGGGAUUUAUCUCAUCUCUAAGACGCUCUUAUAGACGAACUCUACCAGUUCUAUGUAGAACUCUGUGUCAUUUCUAUAAGUCACUCUUUAAUCUGAAACUUUCUGUUUGCUCAAGAGGAAAACAAGUCUGACUUGCAUACCACUGAGGAUUUAGAUUGGACAGUUUAUGUCUGUCACCUGCGCCCCCACAGCGUCUUCUACCAAUGCUAUCCUGCACUGAUUUUUCCAGCAACCUGGGAGGCAGCCUCAUAGGUUGUUUGGGAUGUCUUUUGAUUGUGUUUAAAAACUUCUGACAGAUUUCCUGCACAUCCUAGGAUAAAUGUGUUUCCUGUGAAUUGUGAUGAUUUCUUACACUACAUUUGCAAGCCUGUGUAUGCAUCUGCAGGAACCGUAAUCCGGCUCUGGGAAGGAAUGCUGCUGUGACCGCAAAACUGUUUCUGCGGAAUUUCUCUAGUGUAGUCAUCCUGCCUUCAGCCUGCGCUGAGAUUGCAGAAACCUGAAAGAGGCAGUGUGUAUCCCACCUCCCCGUCCUGCGUGACUCUCAAGUGAGUUUUCUUUAAGUAUCUUUUUCUUCAGCCUCAGGAAAAAGAGGAUCUUAGAAAGGAAGGAGCAAGGAUCCAACAUCACACUGUUUUUGUUAGCUGUGUGUGUGUUUCCUGCAUAUCCAAAGGACAGAGGAGAUGAGAAAGCAAAAGAAGAGAAACGAGGAAUCAGAUUGGAAAGACAGUACGAGUUUGUACUUAUGAAAUGAAACUUCUGUGCCUCUACACAGGCCUGGGAGUCUGUCCCAAUUUCCUGUCUCUAACCUCACUGUAAGUGCUGACCCACUUCUGGCUAUCUUUGUUUCUUUGAAAACGCUCACUGUGUGAUUGGAGUUGGCUUGCUGACUCUGUUCUCUAUCCUCCCCACCACCUGAGUCCCAAAGGGCAGUCCUUCCCACCUCACGCCCAGUAAUUAUGGGUGAGUGCAGAGCCAAAGGAUGGCAGGGUUUUGUUGGUGGUGUGACAAACGGGUCACCCCUUUCCUCGCAAUCAGAGACACAGGGACAAGCAGCUUGCACCUGCACGUGGAGCUUUGCACAUGGCCUUUGCUGAUUUUCCUCUCUGAGGCAUGCCCUCUCCACUAAAGAUGGGCACCUUCCUGCGUUCCGGAAUUCUGGGGGGUGUGCUGACGUUAUGCUCCCGCCCCAGCUCUGUGCUUUGGGUCCAGGGCAGGGAGUGUGCGUAGCUACUUAUCUAGGAUUGCAACCUGAGUCAACAGUGGAACCAGGAAGUGAACUCAGGGUCCGGCAUUGUACGGAAAGUUGGGUGUAUUUACUUUUCUCUUAAAGCAAACUUUGAUUGACUCUUUAAUAAGUUACCAUGGGGGAUAUAGUUCUGGUGAAAUUUGACUUGGCAUCUAAAUCUAAGUCACAUAUUGAUAAUGGAGGAGAGGAACAGGGAGUCUUUUACGUUUUUCCAGUUUUAUCAUUAACCCCAAGUUUGGAAAUCUGUUUGCUUUUAAAAGUUUCAGUUUCCCAGUUUAGGAAGGCGACAGUUCUUUACUGAGGAGUGUUUUUUUUUGUUUGUUUGUUUGUUUUGUUUUUUGAGACGGAGUCUCGCUCUGCCACCCAGGCUGGAGUGCAGUGGUGCGAUCUCAGCUCACUGCAAAUUCCACCUCCUGGGUUCAAGCGAUUCUCCUGCCUCAGCCUCCUGAGCAACUGGGGCUACAGUCAAUCCCAGGAUUGCUACACCUGGGUCAUUUUUUUUGUAUUUUUAGUAGAGAUGGGGUUUCAACAUGUUGACCAGGCUGGCCUCAAACUCCUGACCUCAGGUGAUCAGCCUACCUCAGCCUCAAAGUGCUGGGAUUACAGGCAUGAGUCAACCUGGCCUGAUGAGGUUUUUGAUGUCCUUUGUGGACAGGCCUGUCACCUGGCUGGCACACAGCACUGUGGGAACCUCUGGCAGGGCUGUGUGAGGAAUUAGAGUGACCUCGACUUCCGGCAAGCUCAAUGUGGGUCUCAACUCUGUCACUUUAGGUGUCACCUGGGCAAUCCCUUCCCUUCUUUGGCCUCGAUGUCCUCCUCUGUGAAGUGAGGAAAUUUCUGCAGGACGUCACCUGUGCAAGGUACACAGUGUGAUGACAGGCUCUGUGCUUUUUCUGCUUGGGUCCAUCAAGAGAAGCUGGAGAUGGCGAAUGAGGGUCUGAAGAGAGAAAGGAAGAGUGGGAACUUCCACAGCCAGUGAGGCGGGCAACGCAGGCUCUGCCUCUCUCCCCCGCCCAUCUAGGAGGAGGGUCUGGUGUGGAGUCCAUGAGGGGCUGGGGCCCUACUUUGGAGGGAAUACGGAUUUGCUCAUCUCUCCCCACCUGCUCCCGGGGCUCACGCCUGGAAGAAGGCUUAGGACAUGGGGGAAAUGUCUAAUGUGGAGCCCACCUGCUGAGAAAGGACCCGGUGUGAAGGAAGAAGCCUUGUUCUGGUUCCUGAUGACCCAGCCACCCAUCGCCAGAGCUGAGCCUGGCCACAGGGCCCGCCUGCAGGAAGGGUUGGCUCAUGGCUUCACGCUGCGCUCAGAGCCCAGGAGCGGUGUGCAUAAAAGGCUUUUGGGGAAGAGGAGAAGUGCCACUCGGUGACUUGCACAGGAAACUGGAAAUCGGAUCCCCAGAUUGUCAUCCAUUAUAUUCAUCAACACAGAGAGAUGGAACAUUUGGCAAAAUUAUUUUAAGUAGCACUCCAACCUGUGAUCGUAAUUUCAAAUCAAGGAAUUUGCUGAGCAGCUGUGGGGAAGAACAAAGGGCCCAAGAGUGAUUUAGGGCCUAGGGGAAGGGAGGCGGUGGAGCUGAAGGCCCCAGCCGGUAGGUAGCAGAAACAGCUGGGGAAGCAGGUUGUGUGCACCCCCAGCCUUCUCAGCCCUGCCAUCCCGUCCACACGUGCCUCAUCAGAGAGUUUUCAUCUGUUGAACACACCACAUGCAGUGCUUCAAAACAGAUAAAAUGAGCAGAGGAUUCAGAUUCAGUCUAAUACCCUCGCUGAGAGCUUCGGCUUAGGAGUUGGAUGGGCCUGGCCUUGAAUCCUGGCUCAGCUGCUCACCGGCCUCAGUGGCAUCAUCUGUAAAAUGGGGCUAAUGUAGCAAUCACUUUGUAGCAAUUACUAUGAGGAUGAGUGUUUAUUUGACCCAGUCGCUGGCAUAGAACAGGUGUUCCAAAUACUAUUAUUAUCACCAAUAUGCAGAAACGUUCAACUGAUACACUUGGUUUUCACAACCAAUUAAUUCAAUGAACAUCUACUGAGUACCCGUUAUAUGUCAGGCGCAGGCCUGGGUGUUGUACGGGUACAAACACGUAAAGCAUAGGAAUUGAUAUGCUAUUAGACAAAUUAAAAAAUACUUCUAUGACUCAGAAAGUAAUAAUGACUUCCAAGAAUAUUUAAUUUACCAAAGAGCCUUUUUUUUUUUUUGAGAUGGAGUCUUGCUCUCUCAGGCUGGAGUAAAAUGGUACUAUCUUGUCUCACUGCAACCUCUGUCUCCCAGGUUCAAGCAAUUCUCGUGCCUCAGCCUCCCAAGUAGCUGGAGUUACAGGCGCACGCCACCACACCUGGCUGGCUAAUUUUUGUGUUUUUAGUAGAGAUGGGGUUUCAGCGUGUUGCCCAGGCUGGUCUUAAACUCCUGACCUCAGGUGAUCCAACCGCCUUGGCCUCCCAAAGUGCUGGGAUUAUAGGCAUGAACCACCACACCCGGUCAAAAGAGCCUUUCUUAACAGAUAGUCUAUUAGAAACAAUUUGAAAAGAAAAUAUAGAGUUGAAAAAAAUAAAAGGGAAGCUGUAUUCUUUCUAAUUGUUCUUGAACUUGUUGCUUUUCGAUACAACUAUUAUCUAAAUUAACUUAAUUUCUUAAAAUAAGCCCUGCUUCAUAUCCAGGAACCUUCAGUCAGACCUAUUUACAAACAGCCUGGUUUGCCUGAGUGACUUUUAGUGACACAUGCGUACUCAGAAAGGGUAUCAUUUGCCAGAGAUUAGCCAGUUCUGCUGAAUUCCAGUCUUCAGAAUGAGAAGUCAUCUAGUUCAAACUUUCAUCCUUUUAAUAGAAUUUCUGGGAGAUAACAGCUGAGCUUCUGCUCAGACUCUGCUAGGAAUGGAGAACUUACCACUUCAAAACGUACAUGCUGCCCGGGUUGGACAGCUCUAGUGUUCAAGAUGGAAUAAUUCAUGGGGAACUAAUUGAAAAGAAUUUGCAAAGCAUAUCUCAAGGACAAAAAUCCCUUCUGCUGUUUUUUUCCUUUCGUUUUGGUCUCAAUCUCUGUGGUUUGGUGGAAUUUAGACUGUCUGUCUUCCCCUUUUACUCCGAGCCUGCCCUCUGCCCCCGCCCCCCAGGGGAACACCAGUGGCUCUGAUCACCAUUGGGUGGCCAAGCGUAUCUGGCUGCAGAAGUUUGGAACCAAUACUCAGUUCAAGUUGCCCCUCUCCUUAUUCCCUAGGGUGGCUCAACCAGGCUCUGCUUUCUUGGAAAACAACAGUGAACUUUGUUCAGCCCAAACCCGAUUUCCAAACGGAUGUUUGCUCACUGGCCUGCCCUCUCCAGCUGCUCCCCGCUGCUGACCACUUCUUGAGCAAACCGCUAGCUGCUUCUGCUGUUCCAGCACUUCCUGGAAGGCAGCGCAAGGGGCCGGGGCAGAUGGAACCCAAGCCCUGUUGCUUGUGGCCUUGGCUUACUGAGCCUGAGUCCGUCACCAGAUCAUUAGAAAAGGGACGUGUGUGUGCCUACCUUUGAAGCCAGUAGGCCAAAAGGAAGUGAGCAGGACAGCGCCGUAACACUUAGAGUACUGUGUUUGCUUCGCCCUUCUGGUUUUCUGCAGAAUUGCUAGAAUUUUUUUAAAAAGGAAGCAGCAAGUUGAGAGCAACUAAAGUAAAAAGAGAAAAGUGAUACAAAGGGAAAGGUUUAUUUUUGGAGCGCUUAGAUUCUGAAACUCCUUCUGACUCUUACUACCUCUCCCAUUCUCCUAGCUGGGCUCUUUGUCCUCAUGGGGACUGUGCGCCUCUGAUCUCACUGUAGCUCUGGGUCUUCUGGCUUUCUGGCUCCUGGAGUGAGCCCUUUCAAUGAGGCCCUCCCUCAAUUUCCCAUCCCUCUUAUUCUUCUGCCAUCCAGACUCAUCACAGCCCAAAUCGGAGACUAGCUGGCUGCACAGCUACUCAGAGUGGCUGGAGACAGCCAGCCCCCGAGGCGACUUGUUCCACGGUGAUCUGACUGGUUCACCCAGGGGUCUCGGACCUCACAGACCUUAUCAGGAACAUCAAAUGGGGUUUGUGUGGCCCGAAUGAUAUUUAAAACAAUUUGAUUUAGUUAUGAGCAUUGAAGAAACAGGACAUCACCGGAAAAUCCCGAGUUUUAGCUGCACUAGCAGACGGAACUGAGAGCUGGUGGUGCCUGGUCUUUUCCCACUCUGGAAUGAUCACUGCCUGGAGCUGAGAGGCAGCAGCUUCUCUGACAUAGGGCACACAUGAUGUCUGCAACAACAGAGUGUCUUCCUGGACCCGGAACUGAGAAUUAGAUGUCACUGAUCCAUGGGCUUGCUUCCUCCCACUCCCCAGACAACCUGAUUCGUGAGAUGCCUGCCUGUUCCCCCCGACAUCUGAGUUUGCAGCCCGUGCUCAGUAGAGUUUAUUCAGCAGUCCUUUCGUGAUCUGUAGUGGAUUCCUGGCCCGCCACAUUUCUAAUGCGGUUGUUGCAAGUCUUGUCCAGACCUUUCAGACCCUUGAUCUCUCUGGGAGACCGCGCCUCAUACAUUAUUGAAAAGAUUGAGGCCACAUAACAUGUGAUUCAACGCCUCAGCUUUUUGCCUUUCGGCUUCUAAGGUCUCUGCUCUCCCUCCAUUACUUCCUCCUUCUCUCCUUUCUGACUCCCUUUUUCUUUUUCUCAUCAGUUUUAAAAAUUGUAAAAUAGAAUGCACCUACAGAAACGGGAGGCCGAGGCAGGAGAAUCGAUUGAACCCGGGAGGCAGAGGUUGCAGUGAGCCCAGAUCAUGCCAUUGCACUCCAGCCUGGGCGACAAGAGUGAAACUCUGUCUCUAAAACAAA